Molecule: ribosomal RNA, 253 nt
Filed under: uncultured bacterium
Lineage: Bacteria
Description: partial 16S ribosomal RNA
Rfam family: Bacterial small subunit ribosomal RNA
Source: RNAcentral
UACGUAGGGUGCGAGCGUUAAUCGGAAUUACUGGGCGUAAAGCGUGCGCAGGCGGUGAUGUAAGACCGAUGUGAAAUCCCCGGGCUUAACCUGGGAACUGCAUUGGUGACUGCAUUGCUGGAGUAUGGCAGAGGGGGGUGGAAUUCCACGUGUAGCAGUGAAAUGCGUAGAGAUGUGGAGGAACACCGAUGGCGAAGGCAGCCCCCUGGGCCAACACUGACGCUCAGGCACGAAAGCGUGGGGAGCAAACAGG